GGAGUUAGCCGGUGCUUCUUCUGUGAGUGAUGUCCUUCCUGCCGGCUAUUAACCCGCAGGCCUUCUUCCUCACUGAAAGUGCUUUACAACCCGAAGGCCUUCUUCACACACGCGGCAUGGCUGGAUCAGGGUUGCCCCCAUUGUCCAAUAUUCCCCACUGCUGCCUCCCGUAGGAGUCUGGGCCGUGUCUCAGUCCCAGUGUGGCUGAUCAUCCUCUCAGACCAGCUACGGAUCGUCGCCUUGGUGAGCCGUUACCUCACCAACCAGCUAAUCCGACAUAGGCUCAUCCGAUAGCGCGAGGCCCGAAGGUCCCCCGCUUUCCCCCGUAGGGCGUAUGCGGUAUUAGCCUGGGUUUCCCCAGGUUAUCCCCCACUACCGGGCAGAUUCCUAUGCAUUACUCACCCGUCCGCCGCUCGCCACCAGGGAGCAAGCUCCCCGUGCUGCCGCUCGACUUGCAUGUGUUAGGCCUGCCGCCAGCGUUCAAUCUGAGCCAUGAUCAAACUCUAA
RNAcentral lists this ribosomal RNA (507 nucleotides) under uncultured bacterium. RNAcentral describes it as "partial 16S ribosomal RNA". The record is from RNAcentral.